GGAUCAAUUUAUUGGUCGUGCUAUUGUACGUACUGGUAUUAUUGAUUCCUACCUUCUGACGAACCAUGAUGUCAUUAAUUUGGUGUCAUGGGGAAUCAGGACUGUUACUUUGAAAAAAUUAGAGUGCUCCAUACAGGCAUUUGCUUGAAUACAUUAGCAUGGAAUAACGGAAUAGGACUU
RNAcentral lists this ribosomal RNA (180 nucleotides) under uncultured Glomeromycotina. RNAcentral's name for it is "partial small subunit ribosomal RNA". Lineage: Eukaryota; Fungi; Glomeromycota. The record is from RNAcentral.